RNAcentral lists this transfer RNA (76 nucleotides) under Gammaproteobacteria bacterium. RNAcentral describes it as "tRNA-Asn". It matches the Rfam family "tRNA". Rfam says of the family: Transfer RNA (tRNA) molecules are approximately 80 nucleotides in length. Their secondary structure includes four short double-helical elements and three loops (D, anti-codon, and T loops). Lineage: Bacteria; Pseudomonadati; Pseudomonadota; Gammaproteobacteria. The record is from RNAcentral.
UCCCUGAUAGCUCAGUUGGUAGAGCAAAUGACUGUUAAUCAUUGGGUCCGUGGUUCGAGUCCACGUCAGGGAGCCA